GCCAGUUACAUUUAUCAGAAGAAGGAACUCAGAAUAAAUAUUGAGACUUUGUGAAGACUGUACGGAAGUCACCUAGAAUUUAAAGUGUGUUACAAACGACGAUCCAGUCCAAUGUUGAUCCUGGCAGAAGUAAAGUUGCAGGCUCACGUGGGUUGCCAUGGUAACUGCCAUCUGAUGCUAUCUCUCUGACAUCACAAUGGCUUUUAUUCAAGAUAUGACAACCAAGAACUAUCCAUAAUUACAUAGCAAGCAAAAGACAGUCGUUAUAACACGAGUGUUCUGUUUCAUGCACUUCAUGCCAACUUUUGACCUACCACAUAUGUAACUUUAUAGGUAAUAGUGGGACUAACAAUUAAGACAACCCAUUAGUGCUUACUGGGAAUAUUUGUUAAGUGUCUAAA
This is a non-coding RNA of Ciona intestinalis (vase tunicate), 401 nucleotides long. The record is from RefSeq and is a predicted model, not a curated record. NCBI's taxonomy places the organism in Eukaryota, Metazoa, Chordata, Ascidiacea, Phlebobranchia, Cionidae.